CCCUUAGAUGUCCUGGGCCGCACGCGCGCUACACUGAUGCAUUCAACGAGUUUUACCUUGGCCGAGAGGCCUGGGCAAUCUUUUAAACCUGCAUCGUGAUAGGGAUAGAUUAUUGCAAUUUUUAAUCUUGAACGAGGAAUUCCUAGUAAACGCAAAUCAUCAAUUUGCAUUGAUUACGUCCCUGCCCUUUGUACACACCGCCCGUCGCACCUACCGAUUGAAUGGUCCGGUGAAGCCUCGGGAUUGUGGCCAGUUCACUUUAUUGGGAGUUGGCUGUGAGAACUUGUCUAAACCUUAUCACUUAGAGGAAGGUGAAGUCGUAACA
RNAcentral lists this ribosomal RNA (325 nucleotides) under uncultured eukaryote. Its description in RNAcentral is "partial 18S ribosomal RNA". It matches the Rfam family "Eukaryotic small subunit ribosomal RNA", at positions 1470 to 1796 of the family's 1831-position model. The record is from RNAcentral.